Molecule: long non-coding RNA, 1273 nt
Organism: Clupea harengus (Atlantic herring)
Lineage: Eukaryota; Metazoa; Chordata; Actinopteri; Clupeiformes; Clupeidae
Source: Ensembl
CUUGAGUGAGAAUGUGUAUCUGUUAUUUUGGUAUAUUUCAACAUUUGACAACCGCGGCACUCAAUUGACAAAGCUAGCCACCUGUGAAACGUCAUUGCAGCAGAGGCAUCACCACCCACCAACGUAGCCACGUUUUCUGCCUAGAAACACCAACGGCUAAUCGGAACAGCGAGACCGAAGAAUCCCGUGGGCUGUUACCAACGUGGGGUGAUUUUUUCAUGCCAAAAAUGGGAGGUGGACAGAGCCUAGAGGAGACUGGACAGCUGGACGACGUUAGACUCUCUGGUCACCGCAUCCAAGAAUCUAACACGGAUGCCCGUUCAGAUGCUGAAACCGCGCCUAACCCAGAUGAGCCUGCCACUGAGCUCCCCCAGUGCAGGAUGGGGGCAAAAAGCGUGGAUGACAUGUGCUUCAUGAUCUCAUGCACUAACUGGUACUAAGGGGCGAUGGGUGGCAAAGCAUUUAAAAACAGGCAUGCAAACCCAAAACUUUGCUUUGAUGCCGCAUGCUCGGGGGAUGUAAGAGUUGUUGAAGUGCUCACCUCAGCACUUCACGUUUUAGUCCAAUUUAGAUCGGGAAAAAAAAACACAAGUACAGCUAAGGGAAGUGGUCGUGCUGCAUGUGGGUUGCUCAGGUGCAGUGUUAAAUGCACUGCUAUUACAGGCCAGGCUUGUACCGGCUGCUACUCAGAAGUCCACCGCAUGCAAAAAUAAACCUUUUUGCUGUGGCUUGCACACUUUGCUGCCUGGGUUUCACCAGAGUUGGCAGAUAGUAGGCUUUGUUUAUCACGUAUGGUUAAAAAAAAAAGACUUGUCAGAUUUAAGAGGAAAGAAAUAAGCACCAGUAAUACUGUUUGAAAGUAUUGAUCAUUGAGGUGAGAAAGAUCCUGAGGGCACUGUGCACCGGAACAUCAUUCGGUGUGUCAUUUACCCAUGUUAGUUGGAUACUAACAUAUAACUAUGGUAGUGGCCAUUCUUUAUGAUCUGCCAUGCUAUUUGAGUUGCAUACUUUUGGCCUUUCACGGCAUUAUAGGAAUCAUAAAUCAUGAGAUUCCUUAUAAACAAUAAUUUUCUUCUUGAACAGUGUAAGAGUCAUUGCAAAGCUUUUUAAACCUUUUAUUGACAUUUCUUUGUUAAUAGAACAUGGUGAUAUUGUUAGAUAUACAGUGUGGAACUGUUGAUGAAAGUAAUAUAUAAAAAACAAUGUUUACUUUUAUGUAAUUAAAAGUGUUUCUUUUGUAAAUAAAGCUUAAAUAAUAUGGUGUGUAAAAACA